RNAcentral lists this ribosomal RNA (418 nucleotides) under Spodoptera exempta. RNAcentral describes it as "partial 16S ribosomal RNA". Lineage: Eukaryota; Metazoa; Arthropoda; Insecta; Lepidoptera; Noctuidae. The record is from RNAcentral.
GGGCUGCAGUAUUUUGACUGUACAAAGGUAGCAUAAUCAUUAGUCAUUUAAUUGGUGACUUGUAUGAAAGAUUGGAUGAAAUAUAAACUGUCUCUUAAUUAGUUAUAGAAUUUAAUUUUUUAAUUAAAAAGUUAAAAUGAUUUAAAAAGACGAGAAGACCCUAUAGAGUUUUAUAAAUAAAUUAAUUAAGAUUAUUUAUAAAUUUAUUAAUUAAAAUUAUUUUAUUUAUUUUGUUGGGGUGACAAAAAAAUAUGAAUAACUUUUUUUAUUAUUAUUACAUAUAUAAGUGAAUUAAUGAUCCAUUAUUAUUGAUUAUAAGAAAAAAUUACCUUAGGGAUAACAGCGUAAUUUUUUUUUUUAGUUCGAAUAAAAAAAAGAGUUUGCGACCUCGAUGUUGGAUUAAGAUAAAAUUUAAAUG